UAUUAUUCACAAAUUGAUGGCAUUUAAGGAAUCUGAAGUAAUAUAAACCACGUAACUUUGAAAUAUUUGAAUAUUCUAAUGCUCAGAAUGAAAUAUUUUUCAUACUGAUUAGGCCUCGAAACUGGGUUUGAAAGAAAACAUUGUCAAACAGAGGUCGUAGUGCAAAUAACACAAAACAUAAAAGUAAAGGGUGUUGAUUCAUUUUAAUUUUAUCUCUUUGCAAACUGAAUAUGCAUAAUGUCAUCUUGAUGUUCAGUCUCCCUCCUUUAUUUGCAUAUCAAAAUGUAUAAUGGAGGAGGUACAUUUUUUUCAUUGAGAAAAAUCAGUGGGAACUGAAAAACAGGCAAUUUCCCUAGGUUUUACUAUGAGCAUUUUGCUUUGAUUUCGGGUAGGUGAAGCAUUGAUUAAGUCUAUUUUUCUAAAUCCAAAGCAAGAUUUUUUACUUCAGCUGAGGUCAUCUGCAGACAUUUCCCACAGUUUGGAGCUAUUUUUUGAAACAUCUUGCAUCUCUGCUUUUCUCUCCAUAUUUCUUUUCUCCACUCCCUUCCUCUCUCCCAGCUGCAGGGAUUCGUCCUCUAAAAGAGUGGAGGUGGGAGGGAACAAGGAAUGGAAGCAAAGCAGGGAGCAUGAGCUAGAGAAUGCCAGGAUCUGGCUUUUGUUAUUGGUUGGCUGCCGCCUGAUGGAUAGACGAGGGAGGAGUGUACUCUCUUCAGUGUGUUCUGACGGAGCCGAAGUACAGAAACCAUAUUUACAGGUAUCGCCAUUCCUAGCAACCAAUUUGAUUUUUGAUGGACAAAGAGCCCCAGGAAAGUAGAUGCCUUUAUACCUGAGAAAAAAGAAAUCCCAAGCAAGAGAGACGUACCCUAAUCAGUAUGCUCUGGAUAUGACAGCAUGCAAGUGAGUGAUCUAUUUUGUUCUGAACUCUGGCUCUGUCAAUGACAAUACACGAUUUACUAGAACAAAUCAAAUAAGUGUAUUUGACUCCCAUUUUGACAUUUCAAAACAGUAAGCCAUAUCUCCUUAUGCAGCAAAUAUAUUCAUAUUUUUAAUUUUUACUUUUUCUUAUAAGACACUGUUGUCAGGACGAGAAUAAAAAUGAUGACUUAGGGUAGAAUUGUUUUCAAUGCUUUCUAACAUUAUGAGAAGAAUAAUUUCUGCAUGGAUAUGAUAAUGUGGUAUGUGUGGUUCAAAAAUGUACAGCCCCCCCAAAUGACUUUGAGACUUUGACUAUCCAAUCAGCAGCUCCAU
RNAcentral lists this long non-coding RNA (1248 nucleotides) under Macaca fascicularis (crab-eating macaque). RNAcentral's name for it is "lncRNA (ENSMFAG00000058748.1)". Lineage: Eukaryota; Metazoa; Chordata; Mammalia; Primates; Cercopithecidae. The record is from RNAcentral.